UUGUCCUUUUUCCUAUUAUGUCCUCAUCUUUUCUAUAGGUUUCGUCUCUUCCCAGAUCUCUCUUCCCAGCGUCCUCCUCAGAACCAUCGAUCGAUCCAGAUCUUUCUUCCCAGCCUGGCAGCCUCCUCCUCAAAACCAUCGAUCGAUUUCGUUAAGAGCAUCUCUCUUCCCAGCCUCUUCCUCAAAACCAUCGGUUUCUAUAGAAAUCGAUCUCUCAAGAGGAUUCAAAACCCAAUUCGGUCGCUCCUCCGCCACACGCCUCAAACCCAAAGCAAACCAUUGAUCGAUCUCUCAAGAGGAUUCAAAACCCAACUCCGUCGCUCCUCCGCCACACGCCCCAAACCCAAAGCAUUCCCGGAUCGAUCUCUCUGUCUCUUCAAAACCCAACUCCUCAUGGAUGUUUUUUGGGACAUGAGUUGCUGGGCUUUGGUGUUUCUGAUUCUUGGAGCUAUUUGGUUGUUUUGACUAGUAUAUAGAACCGUUGAUUAGUAUAUAGAACCGUUGUUUAAAAAUCAUAUCUAUUGCUAACAUUGUAUUUCAGAUUUUCAAUUGGUCUUGGUUUUCAAUUAUUGUGUGGAUCAAGUUUAGUUCAAUAUGUCUUUUCUGUUUUAUGUGUAUUUUGGAAUUUUUUGCUCUUAAUUGAUUUCUCCUAUAGACAUUUUAUUGUUUUUUUGAGUUUGCUCAAUGCCUUUGUUCAUGUCCAGAUUCUAGGAAAUAAAUUGAUGGUUUGAUAUGAUUUUUGCCGUCUCAGACACAGAGAAGUUCUAUAUUGAAAGAACGUGAGAGUGAGGGAGAUAGAGAGAAGGGCUGCAGUAGAAUAGAAAGAAAGAAAUAAAUAGAAAGGAAACAAAAGAGAGAGAGAUGUAUAUUGAAAUGUAAUUGGAGGUGGUUGUGGUGUGUGUUUGGUGGAGGGAGAUAAUUGUGUGGUAGAUGUUGGUGUUGCAGAACCUUAUUUCAGAUUAGGUUGCUGCUCAGUUCAGCUUGUCUACUGUGAUGACCUGGUUGUUAUGGUUUUAGAAAGUGACUUGUUAAUUUGUUUGUGCUCUGUUGCCUCCUGUUUAAAUAAUCUAUUGGACUUCACCUUAACUUAAAGUUAAGUGAUGCCGUCUAUAAAGUAUACAACAAACAAAAUAGAUAUAGAUAUAUAUGUGUGAUUGUGUGUGUUCUUAUGUUUAGCUUAGUUCUUGUCAAGUUGGCUUUAGUUUCUGCAUUCUGUUGUUUUUGACCCAGUUUCAUUUUUACUAAAAACUGUAUAUUUCGGCUGGGUAUUUGUAGUUGGUGUCUUCAUGAAAGUUUCAGUGGACAUCUUAAAGAUCAUUUCAGAAUUGGAAUCUCAUAAAAAGGAUUUCUCUAGAUUAAAUUAUGAUUUUUCGAAGUUGAAGGUCUGCAUCAGGAAAUUCUGCGAAUUGUUUUUGACCCAGUUUCAUUUUUACUAAAAACUGUACAUUUCGGCUGGGUAUUUGUAGUUGGUGUCUUCAUGAAAGUUUCAGUGGACAUCUUAAAGAUUAUUUCAGAAUUGGAAUCUCAUAAAAAGGAUUUCUCUAGAUUAAAUUAUGAUUUUUCGAAGUUGAAGGUCUGCAUCAGGAAAUUAUGCGAAUUGUCACUGUUGCUGCUUGUUCCAUUUCAUAUCAGUAGUUUCCUUUAUUCAAACUUGUGUAGUCAACCACAAACUGAAUGUAGACAUUCUUAUCUUUUCAAUAAAACUUGUGACACCAUUUUCGGAGUUCAUUUGGGAUACUUAUGUCAUUGUGAAAUCAGUUUUUCGCAUCAUUGUUUGGCAGCCAUACCUUCACACAGCCAUCAAGGCUAGUAGCUCUUUAGAUUGUGGUCAACAUCUUUGCAAUUUAGCAAAGUCAGAUAUCAUUGUUUGUCUAAGCAUGUUUUGUCUUUAGAUGGAAAAGAAUAAAUCCACCAAUACCGAAACUGAGGGAUCUGGAAAACCAAGUGAAGAGACUAGUGAAGAGAUAGAGGAUAAUGAACAUGAUGGAGAUGGUCCAGGAAGACAAGAAAUGGAGGUGUUAAGAAAUGCAAUUGCACAAAGUCUAAUGAAUGCAUCUACUUAGCAUUUAGUUGCAAAUUUCAAGUGACUUUAAUAUAUUUUGUGUAAUGGUUCCCAUUGAAUUAUGGUCGGGAAAUUAAUCUAAAAAUUCUACAUGAGAUUUUGUGUAAUAGUAAAACAUAAUAUGCAUAUUGAAGGGUUUAAAGUAAAUCUUUCAUUCGGUCCAAUCAAGGGUACAAGAAUAAUACAUGAGAAUUUUUUUUUA
Molecule: long non-coding RNA, 2264 nt
Organism: Rosa chinensis
Lineage: Eukaryota; Viridiplantae; Streptophyta; Magnoliopsida; Rosales; Rosaceae
Exons: 2
Source: RefSeq, a predicted model, not a curated record